Triticum aestivum (bread wheat) is the source of this 786-nucleotide long non-coding RNA. RefSeq lists it as uncharacterized. The record is from RefSeq and is a predicted model, not a curated record. NCBI's taxonomy places the organism in Eukaryota, Viridiplantae, Streptophyta, Magnoliopsida, Poales, Poaceae. The transcript has 2 exons.
GCUCCUAGUGGUUACGUACGAUACGAGGGUAUGGUACGUGUUCCCUUGUGUACUGGAUGGAGUUUUUUUUUCCCGGGUGGUGUAAUGGAUGUUACGUGUUGUCCCAGCUGCUACAAUGCUGCAGAGGAGAGGAGGUAAGCGGCCUGGCUUUUUUUUUUUGAACAAAAGCGGCCUGGCUGAAACAAGUAAUUGAAGGGACUUGGAAUGCCUUCCAUGCUUGAAAAAGAAAAAGAAGAGACUUUUCAUCGUGCCAUAACAUCCAGCUGACACCUACGUACUUGGCUUGGUCAAUCAUACGUGGAGGCCUACAUCACAGGUUUGCAGAAGAUGGAUUUCACAAUGCGAAAAAGUGAGGUAGACAAAGCUCGCUGGGAUGGAUUCUCAAGGAACAUAUAUAUUUUUAUGGCGGAACGGAACAGCUCUGGAGCAACUGACUAAUGUUGCUCUACUCUAAUCACCAGGCGGUAGGCCUGGCUAGCAAUCUCAAACUUUGAAUGUUGCUAUACUCUGCCACUGUUUGUUGGUGAUCACUGGUGUUCUUCUGCCCGAGGACGAGCAUGCUAUAUGUUCCCCGUCAGUUCCGAGGCGACCCCGUAAGAGAGGAGAGGACCCAGCAUCUUGGGCCUGCCUGCGGUAUGUUGGAGCUGCUGUGCCAUGGAAUGUUUCUGUUGUUGUGCAAACAUCAGGGGAUAUGUAGUAUGUAUGGUUUGUCAGCUAUCAACAUAAUAUCCACUGAUUGCCAUCCCUCCAUAAAUGCAAACUCCUCUAUACUACAUAUUCAGAUGA